AAAUUGGCAGAACUACUAGCCUUGCUCAAGGUCAGAGAAGCAAGAGCAUAACGUCCAAAUAUUUUGACAAUGUCUCACUACCCUAUUCACUGCAACAUAUUCCAAAGAAACUGAACUGCUUGCUGUGGAAGAGGAAGCUCAAGGUCAGAAAAACAGAAGAUCCUGAAGCCAGAACACCAAAUAACUCACAGAAUCUUCACUGACUUGAUUUUCAUUGUUUGCUAAGUCCACCCAAAUACACUGUCCUAGGCAGUCAGCGUUCUGACCCAACUUCUGUGGGUUGUGGUUCCAAAGUCCAUUCCAUUUUCAAAGCCUUUACAGCACUAUCCAGAUGGAAUUUCUUGAACAUACAUGGAAAGGAACUGAGAUGAAAAGAGGCACUCUUGAGCAGCCCAGGUUGGCUCAGCGGUUUAGCACUACGUUCAUCCCAGGGCCUGAUCCCGGGAUCGAGUUCCACGUCGGGCUCCCUGCAUGGAGCCUGCUUCUCCUUCUGCCUGUGU
This is a long non-coding RNA of Canis lupus familiaris (dog), 500 nucleotides long. RefSeq lists it as uncharacterized. The transcript has 4 exons. Lineage: Eukaryota; Metazoa; Chordata; Mammalia; Carnivora; Canidae. The record is from RefSeq and is a predicted model, not a curated record.